CGUGAGGAACCUGCCUUUCAGAGGGGGACAACAGUUGGAAACGACUGCUAAUACCGCAUAACAUAUGUUUGUCGCAUGGCAGAUAUAUCAAAGAUUUAUCGCUGAGAGAUGGCCUCGCGUCUGAUUAGCUAGUUGGUAGGGUAACGGCCCACCAAGGCGACGAUCAGUAGCCGGACUGAGAGGUUGGCCGGCCACAUUGGGACUGAGACACGGCCCAGACUCCUACGGAAGGCAGCAG
Molecule: ribosomal RNA, 238 nt
Filed under: uncultured bacterium
Lineage: Bacteria
Description: partial 16S ribosomal RNA
Rfam family: Bacterial small subunit ribosomal RNA
Source: RNAcentral